Long non-coding RNA from Anas platyrhynchos (mallard), 1909 nucleotides. RefSeq lists it as uncharacterized. Lineage: Eukaryota; Metazoa; Chordata; Aves; Anseriformes; Anatidae. The record is from RefSeq and is a predicted model, not a curated record.
UAGUGCUCCUUGGCUGUAGCUCUAUCACAGCUCUGCUUGGCUGUUUGAUGUUCAAACUUGUGAUCUAAAUGAAUUGGAGUUUUCUUUUUAAGAGCUGUACAGGGGGCUAUGGCUUAUGCAGUAGCUUGAUAGGAAAGCUGGAAAUAGGACUUCAUCUCCGGAACUGAUCGUCUACCUACUCAAACAGGAACCACUGCAAUGAGAAUACCAAAUUGUCCAUCGGUUUCUGCCCCAGCUUUCCAAGAGUAUCAAGUCAAGUUCAAGGUCUGGACCCUAAUCCUCAAGGGAAAAAACCUUUCCAUCAUCAUGAAGGAAAUCUGUUACAAAAGUGAACUGUAAACCUGGAUUUCCUGGCUCCUAGUUACUGAAGUGGCAUCAUUCUGAGGACAUGCGUCUUUAAAGCUGUUUACUUUCUCAGUAUCAGAUUGACACCGGUCACUAAAAUACUGGUAAGGCUGGGAAUCCAGAAGCUUGUUCUUUCCUGUUAAAGGGAUUCAUAUCCUGGUUCUGAGACCACUGCCACAGUAUUUUAACGGUGGAUUUUGGCAUGCCAUCACAAAAACAUAAGAAAUUAUUUCGGUGACAAUAUGUUGGCUUCUUAGAUCCCUCAGACAUGAAAUCGAGAUUUCAUUAUGGCGACUUACCAACAUUAUUUGUUCUUUAGAUAAUUCUUAAAAGUUUCCGUGAUGUAUUGGCUUCCAGGUUUAAGCCACAAGAAGCUUGAAAUUUAUCUCUGGAGCUGAGAUUUAGGUUUCAUUAACAGUUAAGCCUUCGUCUGGAGUGCUGAAGUGUUCUGCAAUGGGUAACUCAGCUUGUUAGUAACAUUAGCAGAUUUGUGAGUCCUCAAAUGCGUCUAUGGAUAAUUGUUUCAACCUUGUGUUCUUUAUUAUAAUCCGCUGUCUGAUAAUGGGCUUCAGGGUAGAUAAGAGAAGGAAAUGUGCCAGUAGGAUUUCAUUCAAUCUUGUGCAUUCUACCCGCAGCUGCUGUUUCCUCUAAGGUGAUGGCUGACUUGGCAUCUCUUGCUUUAAAGCAGAGAAAGCCACGAUUGAUGGCAGGCCAUUCUAAUGCCUCCUUACCAGCCAUUCAUGGAGACUUUGAGAUUACUGUAAAGAGAUAUCACCGGUCUAGGAGCUGCUUUCUGGAAUCAUUCUUCUUGCAAUAGUGCAAAUGGACAGCUUUUGUUUCUAUCGCAGCAGCAAUCACUGUUUAAAUUAGAGAGCUCUUUGAAAUUUUUUGACAGAGCAGUUUUCUGCUGAUAAAUGCAGUUUCACUAACAUUGAAAUGCUUCUCCAGGGAGGGUAUCAAUUUUGGCAAUUUUUUUCCAUGAGAAAGAAAAAGAAGCAUCUUGGCUUUGAGGGAAGAUUUUAUGAAGUUGAAAUAUUUUGUUUUGAAUUUAUCACUUUUAUUAAUGUUUAGGUUUUAAGUUUAUGCUAAGGUUGGAAGUGUAGAUAUUCAGUAACAUGUAUUCACGUUUAGUACGGUACCUUAUUGUUUCUACAUAAUCGUACUGAAAUGGGUUUUGCUUUGCCAAAAUGAAAUGAUUUAACUUUAAGCCAAAUAGUAAGCUAAUUCUAAAUCUUGGAAGGCCUUAGAAAUCUUGAUUCCUGGGGAAAAUAUGUCAUUUUAAUUUAGAAUGAAAACAUUUUAAGCAUUGAAAUUUCCUAUUAAAAAAAUCAGGUUUCUCACUGGUUCUGUAUUAAAUGCAGACGUUUUUAAUUUCUCCAGCUAAUCUUUUAGUUCUUCAUACCUCUGCAGCCUUCUGAAAAAUAACUUCUAUUGCUUGAGAGCUGCUCCCUAGAAAAGAUUACUGGGAUGAAUAUUUGCCUUCCUGAACUGUAUGGUAGAGUUUGUACAUCUUUCACAGCUAGCCGUAUUUCUGACUGUCACAAUGGUGAUCACUUCAUUUAUA